UACAACUAAUUUCAUAUCUGAAUUGAAAAAAAUCAAUCAAUCUAACACAAGUCUCUUCAUUAACAAACUAAAACAGCUGCGUUUAAACGCUUUGCAGCGAGACCAGAACCACAAGUAAGCCAAAAUCCGCAUUUUAGUGAAGUAACUCAUACGACACGGUGGGCAGCAGCAGCUUCGAACAGUAAUUUCGGAAGUCAACCUUGCAGUCAUUUGGGCAGUUAUUCAAGCAGUCAUACCGCACACUACACUACAGUUAGUUAGCGCAGUUGUUGUAUUUUUUGUUUUUCUACAUUACACAACAACGAAGUUAAAUUGCAAUGGAAACGAACGAAAUGAGGCGAUUCAGCGAAAACAGCAAAGCAUAAAUGUAUAAGUGCCAGCAGAAGUAACAGUAACAGCAGUUAGCCAGUUGCAACGGUACACAGCAACACAGCUAGCCAGUUACAACGCUAUAUAGCUAGCCAGUUACACAGCCAGCCAGCCAGCUAUCCAGCUACCAAUCGAGCCAGUCGUCCAGUCCAACGUGCAACCAACCAUUCAUUGAGCCAACUUUGGCAACAUGCGCUUGAAUUGAAAUCGAACGAUGCGUACUGACCUGGAAAAUAUGGAAACGUGAUCGAAAUAAAUUUAUAAUAACAACAACAACAGCAACAACAUCGCUGGUUGUUGGCAUAGGUAAGGGAGAGUGCGCGAAAAAACUAUGAAAAAUAUGCAAUUCAGGCGAACGUGUGAAACAGUUGGAUUUACUCUAAGAAUGGGGAAAAGAGUGAGCGGUAUUUGCUUGUUAUGUGUCGGUUGCACUGCACGUUGGCGAUUUUGCGGCAAUGACCACGCCAUUGAAUCUGGCGCAUGUUGAACGUUU
Long non-coding RNA from Zeugodacus cucurbitae (melon fly), 862 nucleotides. RefSeq lists it as uncharacterized. The record is from RefSeq and is a predicted model, not a curated record. NCBI's taxonomy places the organism in Eukaryota, Metazoa, Arthropoda, Insecta, Diptera, Tephritidae. The transcript has 2 exons.